CUCAAAUCUGCCAACUAGCGAUCCGUCGAUGGUAAUUUAGCCUUGAUGGGGAGCUAAUCGGAAACGAAAGUCUUCCGGUUCCGGGGGAAGUAUGGUUGCAAAGCUGAAACUUAAAGAAAUUGACGGAAGGGCACCACCAGGAGUGGAGCCUGCGGCUUAAUUUGACUCAACACGGGAAAACUCACCCGGCCCGGACACUGUAAGGAUUGACAGAUUGAAAGCUCUUUCUUGAUUCGGUGGAUGGUGGUGCAUGGCCGUNCUANGG
Molecule: ribosomal RNA, 265 nt
Filed under: Steinernema feltiae
Lineage: Eukaryota; Metazoa; Nematoda; Chromadorea; Rhabditida; Steinernematidae
Description: partial 18S ribosomal RNA
Rfam family: Eukaryotic small subunit ribosomal RNA
Source: RNAcentral